UCGGGAAUUUUGGGCAAUGGGCGAAAGCCUGACCCAGCAACGCCGCGUGAGGGAUGAAGUAUUUCGGUAUGUAAACCUCGAAAGAAUGGGAAGAAUAAAUGACGGUACCAUUUAUAAGCUCCGGCUAACUACGUGCCAGCAGCCGCGGUAAUACGUAGGGAGCACGCGUUGUUCGGAUUUACUGGGCGUAAAGGGCGCGUAGGCGGCGCGGUAAGUCACUUGUGAAAUCUCUGGGCUUAACUCAGAACGGCCAAGUGAUACUGCUGUGCUAGAGUGCGGAAGAGGCAACCGGAAUUCUUGGUGUAGCGGUGAAAUGCGUAGAUAUCAAGAGGAACACCUGAGGCGAAGGCGGGUUGCUGGGCCGACACUGACGCUGAUGCGCGAAAGCCAGGGGAGCAAACG
Molecule: ribosomal RNA, 402 nt
Filed under: uncultured bacterium
Lineage: Bacteria
Description: bacterial SSU rRNA
Rfam family: Bacterial small subunit ribosomal RNA
Source: RNAcentral